AUGAGCAGCCCCCGCCGCCGCCCCCUCUCGCCGGCGCCGCUGGACGACGACGACCUCCUCUCCGAGAUCCUCCUCCGCCUCCCCGCGCUGCCCUCCUCCCUCCCCCGCGCCUCCGCCGUGUGCAGGCGCUGGCGCCGCCUCGCCUCCGACCCCCGCUUCUGCCGCCGCUUCCGCGCGCACCACCGCCGCCGCAACCCUCCCCUCCUCGGCUGCUUCGUCCAAGAUAUUGACUCCAUCCACUUCCAACCUAUCCUGGAGGCCCCCAACCGCGUCCCGCAGGCCCGCUUCGCCUUCCCGAUCCACGCCGGCGACCCCCUCGGAUGCCGCCAUGGCCUCGUGCUCUUCCUCCGCAAUGCGGACCAGCUCCUGGUGUGGGACCCCAUCACCGGCGACCAGCACCGCCUUGACGUCCCCCCAGGGUUUGACGAGGACGACUCGGUCGGCGGGGCGGUGCUCCGUUCUGCUGCCGGCCACUUUCAGUUCCAGGUUGUCUUGGUAGGCAACAGCGAGAUAGAGCCUACACGAGCGGUCGCCUGCGUUUACUCGUCGGCGACCGGCGAAUGGGGUGACCUCGUCUCCACACCGCUCCCUCCCAAGGCUUCCAUGAGCUAUCGCUCCACCUCCAUUUCUAUGAACCAUCCUUGUGUGCUCAUCGAGGGUUCCUGUUACUGGUCGCUCGCUCAUGGUCCUGGCAUCCUUGCGUUUGAUUUGGAUAGCCAGAGCCUGAGUGUGAUACAUCUUCCAGUAGACCUGGCCCAUUACGACUUCUCGGUUGUGCGGGCCGAGGGUGGCCGGCUUGGUUUCUUCGUUGUGCCAGGCUUCAGCGCCCAAUUGUGGAAGUGGAACAGGGAUUGCGAUGGUGCGGCUUCAUGGGUGCUGGAAAGAAGUAUUGAAUUGGACAAGCUGCUUACUCUGAAUCCAGACGACGAGAGAGAGCGCCCAACUGUCGCGGGGUUCGCCGAGGAAAGCAAUGUGGUGUUACUGUGGUCAUUUGUUGGUGUCUUCACGCUCCAGCUUCAGUCAUUGCACUCCAGGAAACUCUUUAGAGUUAAACGCUGGUUUUGCUGUCUUCCAUUUGAAGGGGUCUAUACUGCAGAUGCGGAUAUUGGUGCUGGAGGCGAUGGAGCCAAACUUUUGCACAAUACAUAA
This 1149-nucleotide ribosomal RNA is filed under the name Triticum aestivum (bread wheat). RNAcentral describes it as "partial small subunit ribosomal RNA". The record is from RNAcentral. Lineage: Eukaryota; Viridiplantae; Streptophyta; Magnoliopsida; Poales; Poaceae.